GACGAACGCUGGCGGCGUGCUUAACACAUGCAAGUCGAACGGAAAGGCCCUGCUUUUGUGGGGUGCUCGAGUGGCGAACGGGUGAGUAACACGUGAGUAACCUGCCCUUGACUUUGGGAUAACUUCAGGAAACUGGGGCUAAUACCGGAUAGGAGCUCCUGCUGCAUGGUGGGGGUUGGAAAGUUUCGGCGGUUGGGGAUGGACUCGCGGCUUAUCAGCUUGUUGGUGGGGUAGUGGCUUACCAAGGCUUUGACGGGUAGCCGGCCUGAGAGGGUGACCGGCCACAUUGGGACUGAGGUACGGCCCAGACUCCUACGGGAGGGAGCAGUGGGGAAUAUUGCACAAUGGGCGGAAGCCUGAUGCAGCAACGCCGCGUGCGGGAUGACGGCCUUCGGGUUGUAAACCGCUUUCGCCUGUGACGAAGCGUGAGUGACGGUAAUGGGUAAAGAAGCACCGGCUAACUACGUG
RNAcentral lists this ribosomal RNA (468 nucleotides) under uncultured bacterium. RNAcentral's name for it is "partial 16S ribosomal RNA". It matches the Rfam family "Bacterial small subunit ribosomal RNA", at positions 28 to 507 of the family's 1533-position model. The record is from RNAcentral.